CUUAGGGCAAAGAGGGAGGCACGCACGCACUAGUGGCAGUUCUCCAUCGGAACUACUGCUAAGAUUGUAGCCAUUCAGAAGCUUUACGGAUGGGUAAGACCCUUGAAAAUUAUCUUGCAUUUGGUUUCAACGGUUGAGAAAGUGUUCUAAAGGCUCAGGCAUGACCUCUCCUUUAGAGUUUGAUAGCAGAUCUUGAUUCAAGGGUGAGCACUAUGUCUCCAGGCUGCCAUAAGUCAUCUUAUUUAUCAUGUCCAUC
Long non-coding RNA from Capsicum annuum, 256 nucleotides. RefSeq lists it as uncharacterized. The record is from RefSeq and is a predicted model, not a curated record. The transcript has 3 exons. Lineage: Eukaryota; Viridiplantae; Streptophyta; Magnoliopsida; Solanales; Solanaceae.